Ctenopharyngodon idella (grass carp) is the source of this 5775-nucleotide RNA transcript. It is a transcript of the gene named E3 ubiquitin/ISG15 ligase TRIM25-like, with no coding region annotated. The transcript has 8 exons. The record is from RefSeq and is a predicted model, not a curated record. Lineage: Eukaryota; Metazoa; Chordata; Actinopteri; Cypriniformes; Xenocyprididae.
CAUAACAAAAUAAUAAACUAAUCUAGCAUUAGGAGGCAUAAUGAAUACAUUUAAAAUCAUAAUAAAAGCUUCACAAUAAUACUGGUAAGUAAGAAACACCAUGGCAGGCAUCAAUUUAAAUGUAUGCCAGAAAUGUUUUUUAAGUUAAGAAAUGAAAAAUAAAAAUAUAAAAAUAUAAAAUAAUAAAUAUUAGUAGCCUAUUAUAAAUAAGUAAUUAAAUGUAAGUAUAAUAAAAAUAUAGCCUAAGUAUUCUUAAAAAAUAAGUUUAAAUAAUGCAAAUUGAUGACUUUAACAACCACAAAGACUAUCGAUCAAAAGCCCGGAUAGUUACAGAUUUGUGGACAGCUUUCCCUGCGCAUGAAAUCCCCCAUUCCAGCAAACCAGUGAAAAUGCAAGACAAUGAUGACGAUACAUAACAACAGAAUGUAGGCAGUGAGUGACAAAUUUGAAGAAAAUUACGGUUGCUUGGCAAAUAAAUAAAUGACGGACAGUUACUUACACAUUGCCGCUUUUUUUUUUUUUUUUUUUUUUACCUCAAACAAAGGAAUUUGUAGUAAACUAUUGUUAAUGUUAAAUAGAGAGUCCACAAAUUGCUUGGGUAUGCAGAGCAUUCUCAGCUUAUAUGGACUGCACGUCCCUGAUUUAUAAAUAUUUUUUUUUCUUGCCUUGUAAAUAUUUUGUGCACAAUUUUGGGAAUACUGGAUUACAAAAGACUGUCAAUAAACAUCACUGGACUUUUUGACACCACUGACUGUUAUCACCAUCACACCUCGUCACACUGCUUUACAGACCGAUCUGUUUUUCACACGUCUCUCAAACACAGAACCAGGAAACAGGAAACACAUGAGUUCAGAGAAACUGAAACUGAAGUGUAGUUGCGCUGUUGUGUGUUUGUGUCUCUGUCUUCAUGCAGUAAAAUGGCAGAAGCCAGAUUUUCUCAGGAUGAGUUCAUGUGUUCAGUGUGUCUGGAUCUCCUGAAGGAUCCAGUGACCAUCCACUGUGGACACAGUUACUGUAAGAUCUGCAUUACAGGCUGCUGGGAUCAGGAGGAUGAGAAGAGAGUCUACAGCUGUCCUCAGUGCAGACAGACCUUCAGUCCAAGACCUGCUUUAGGUAAAAACACCAUUCUAGCUGAAAUGGUGGAGAAACUGAAGAAGACUACACUUCCUGCUGACUGUUAUGCUGGAGCUGGAGACGUGCAGUGUGACGUCUGUACUGGAAGAAAACACAAGGCCGUCAGGUCCUGUCUGGUGUGUCUGAACUCCUACUGUCAGAAUCACCUUGAACAACAUGAGAGUUUCUUUAAAGGAAAGAGACACAAUCUGACUGAAGCCACUGGACGACUGCAGGAGAUGAUCUGCCCGAAACACGACAAGAUCCUUGAAGUUUUCUGCCGCACUGAUCAGAAGUGUAUAUGUGUGCUGUGUACUAUGGAUGAACAUAAAAACCACAACACUGUAUCAGUUGCUGCCCAGAGGACAGAGAAACAGAAGGAGCUGAAGGAGGCACAGAGGUCGUUCCAGCAGAGGAUUCAGCAGAGAGAGAAAGAUCUUCAACAGCUGAGAGAGGCUGUGGAGUCUCAUAAGCGCUCUGCACAGACAGCAGUGGAGGACAGUGAGAGGAUCUUCACUGAGCUCAUCCACUCCAUUGAGAGAAGCUGCUCUGAGGUCACACAGCUGAUCAGAGAUCAGGAACAGACUGCAGUGAGUCGAGCUGAAGGACGACUGGAGCGACUGGAGCAGGAGAUCAAUGAUCUGAGGAGGAGAGACGCUGAGCUGGAGCAGCUUUCACACACACAGGAUCACAUCCAAUUCCUGCAGUCACUUUCACCAACAUUGUUCACUGGACCAGGAACGACUUCCUACAAUUACAAUGUCAAGUGGAAACAAGCACAAACUAGAAGCUGCUCUUCUGCUCGGGAUGUAUUUGUUGAAGAGAUACAGAAAUGUAACACGGAGUCACAAACUCAGAAGCCUGAAGUCACAGGACGAUCUAAAGUGACCUGGUGGAAGAGGGACCGUGAUGGGCAUCGUGUGACCACCAGCAAACAGAGGAAAAAAGGUUCAUCUGCUGAUUUUAAUAUGCAGAGGCUUGAGGACCUUCUACAGGAUUCUGAGGGCACUGAUGGGCAAGAUUUUGCUCAGCAGCCACCAUUGUCCAGUUGGUGUCAAAGACAUAAAGAGGUCCAACAAUGUUGGCAACAGGCGAGGCCACAAAACCUUGCCAACUUGUUUUCAGCUGAGAACAUCGUCCAGAUGACAUGUAAUCACUGUCAUGUGAGAGAAAACAUCAUUUAUGUGUCCUUUUUACAAAAACAUAGUGUAGAUACAAUAAUAUGGUUAGUGUUAAAUGUAAGGUUAUUCAUAACACCAAAAGCUGGCUAUACCUUGAGUAUGCAAACUGUAGUUUUUCUGGGUGGAAGGUUGUGAAAAGGCAAUCUGCAGAAUAUAACGAUUUGCCUUUUGUAUGAUGGGUUAUACAGAUUUUCCCUGCAGCAAAAGCACCUCGCUGAAAAUAUUGAAUGUAAUAUGUAGCCCUACAGUGAAUCUGUGGUGCAACGAAUGAGGUGAUGUAAUCAUCUGUAACACUUCCCAGUGUGCAGUGAAGAAUUCACAAAGGGGGGUUGCACAUUUAAAGUGUGUUUAUUCUGCAAAACAGGAAUUAAUAGUUUUAGUUGCGGCUCUCGUGGUUAUCGCACACCAUCUUACGUCACAUCUUUAUCACAGCCUCAACUUCGGCCGCCACCUGCUGGCGAACUAUGAGACUAACAUUUCAACACUAUAUUUAACUACAAAUUAUAUUCUCUUUUAAGGCUUAUAUUCUUGGAGUGCAAUACUCAAUCAUUGCGCUACACAUCCUCCAGCUUUAUCACAGCCUCAACACAUCACAUAAACAUUAUCCAAAAAAAAAAUAUUUCCUGUUUCUUUUCCACGACUAAAUUUAAAUAUAAUAUAAUGAAACCAAGAUUUAUAAAUAAAUACUUUUCAUUUACAACAUACGUGCACUUAAUUUACUACAAUAGAACUUUAUUGUUGGCCACAUGGCACAACAUUUUUUGUUUCUUUGCACCAUCAAUGUAACAACGGUAUUUUUAGCAGACCUUCCUUUAUGACACAGUCAUUCCUAUGUUCUCCUGUGGUUCCCAAGGUGGGCGCCAGGCCUUUUGGCUGAAAGCAAUGGCAAAAUAAAACAUACAGAAAUUGUGUAUUUAAUUUCUGAAAUAUGUUAAAUAUAAGGAUAGCCUAGACAUGGUUUAUAAAUAAUAUAACAAAAGUUCUCCUUGCUCCUUUUCAAAAAACACUAUCUUCUUACUAGAGUUGGGAACCGAGAACCAGUUCUUAUCCAGAACCAGUAAAGUCAUCACAAUUUCAUAUACAUGAAAAUGUAUAGCACAUCAUGAAGAGGAGAAUCAGACAACAGUGAACACUGAGGAGGUUACCUCACCCCCAUCCUCCCCACAAACUACGCCCCUGGAAUACAUACACCCCUGUGUAUUAUCACAACAAUGUCAAAUUAGUUAAAAUUGUAUCAACUCUCACUAGUUGAUCCAGGAUGAAUCUUCACAUGGUCAUCCUGGAAUAUGGCCAUAAUGUGUCUUCCUACAUGGUUAUUUAAGAAAUGAAAAGCUACACACUCCAUCAAUUAGGGUUAGAAGAACAUAUAACAUAAUAAUAAUCACUGCAAUAAUGAUCCAAUCAUACUUUUUUAGUAGUUUCUAGUAGCUUUAGUAGUUCAGAUCACAUGAUCAUUCCUCCAGCAGUCUGCAUUCCACCGACAUUCCAUUAGAAUGUUUAACAGUGCUAAUUAAUUAUUCAUGAUUCUCUGUGGUGAUGUCACAGCCAGCACACUAUAUAAAUAAAGCUGCAGGAGUCCUUGAGCCCACAUUGUUCUGCAGUAGUGAUUUAAGAGCAAACUUCUACUCUACUCAGUGAUUGAUGAUAGAUUACAAUGGCUUGUAAUACUAGCGUUCAAUCAGACCAUCACAGAGAACUGGCCUUUACAGCCCAUUUAGCUGCAAAACUUGCUGUACCACAGCUGGAGGACGUCACUUUUCAAUCAGUCAUCUGCAACUUCAUGUGGAAUCUGACUGAGCAGUAUGUCUAUUUUUAUUAGUAAAAUCCUCUUAUAUUCUAGUGAUGAAACUCAUUUAAAAUAGUUGUUGUGUAAUUGUGUUAAUAUUAGAGUUUUUGGUUAUUUUGAUGGUCCCUUUUAGACAUUCUGUUGACUAAAAGUAAUGUUGCUCCUACAUGUCAACUACUAGUCAUUAGAAUAUUAGUUAACUAUUAGUAGACCUUUUAGGGUUAGGGUUAGUAGAUUAAGUUGACAUGUACUUGCAAAUGGGGGUAUUCAAAAUAAAGUGUUUUUAAGCAGACUGUCUGAAAAAUUUAUUCAAUAAUCAAUUAAUGAAUCACUUUUAUUAAAUAAUAAACAUUAAAAUAAGUUAUACAGACAUUUAAAUUGCACAUAAGGUAGUUUAUAUACCAACUUUUUAAUAACAAUUAUGUUUCUACUCCAAUUUGUUGGUUAACCCUUGUGCUGUAUUGAAAUCCCUAUAACACUUGUGGUGUUUCUGGACAAAAAUGACCGGCCUGAAAAAAAUUGCUUAUAAAUCUCUUGUUAUGCUACCUUAUCAUAAAAUAAUGGAUUAAUUUUUUUUGCCAACUUGUUUUCUUUAAAUUAGGACAGGUUUUGUAUUUAUCUUUUAAACUGAUUGAUCGUAGGCCUCACUGAUUUGAGGAUAAAAUUCAUCUCUGUGCAAAAGAAAGCCUGUAAUACUCAAAAUAGUCUGUGUAAAUGAACGUGUGUGUGUGUAUGUGCGCGAAUGCACGAGUACGCAUGUAUCCACACAUGCAGAGGUCCGGGACCUUUAUUUUUGUAAGCCCACAUGUACAUAUGUAAACAUGAACAUGAUGAACACGCUCCACAUUUUUGGGAAGUAGUUAGACUCUGGGUGAGCAAAGUCAGCAAAUUUUAGUCCAAUGCUAUAACAUUAACUAGCAUUUUCUGGCACGGGACAACACAACAUGAGGGUUAAAUAAUAUAACAUUUAAAUGAUGACUGUAAUAACUUCUUUUCAUGACAGAUUUAUUCAAACAUACAUUAAAUAAUGAAGACAACACUAACAUGAUAAGUAAAAUAUAGUGAAUAUGUAAUACAGUGGAUAUACUUAACAAAACGCCCCUCCCUAGAGUUAUUAUUUUUCUAGCUAACUAACGAGAUACAGACAUCAAAUGGCUUUCUAAGGUAAAUAAUGUUAAGCGACAUUUUUAAAAGCUGUUUUGAUGUCUUUCCCCAGUUGAAACUUUGCUUGAGCGAUUACACAAGACAUGAUACAAUUCAGUACAUUACACUGUUUCUUUAACAUACCUUCUGAUGUUUAUUUUUGUUUUUUCCGUGUUAUAAUCUUCAAACUUAAAGCUUUUCAAAGAUUUUUCAAACUUUCAGACUAGGCUUUGUCAAUCCAACAUCAAAGUUUGUCAUCAAAUUUUACUCAUAUUGUAUUAUAUUAACAGUUGUCUGUUUUUCAGGAAUUUGGAAGUGAUUCAGGCGGCAUUGAGCUACCCGUUCUCCAGACAGCAAAUCUAUCAAAUGCUGACUUCCAUUGCAACGUCAGCCGCCACAACUGCAACUGAUUUAAUGCCAAAACUAUCUGGAAUAGUGGGCAUGAAUCCAUCUGCAGUUGUGAACUCAAACAGACCAAUAACAUCAGAAAGACCAGCGAUCCUGAAGAUGGAACAGCUUCCAUAUGUGUAUCCACUUGAAUCCCUUUUUGGG